AGAGUUUGAUCCUGGCUCAGGAUGAACGCUAGCGGCAGGCUUAACACAUGCAAGUCGAGGGGCAUCGGGAGGGAAGCUUGCUUUCCUUGCCGGCGACCGGCGCACGGGUGAGUAACACGUAUGCAACCUGCCCUCUUCAGGGGGACAACCUUCCGAAAGGGAGGCUAAUCCCGCGUAUAUCGGUUUCGGGCAUCCGAGAUCGAGGAAAGAUUCAUCGGAAGAGGAUGGGCAUGCGGCGCAUUAGCUUGACGGCGGGGUAACGGCCCACCGUGGCGACGAUGCGUAGGGGUUCUGAGAGGAAGGUCCCCCACACUGGUACUGAGACGCGGACCAGACUCCUACGGGAGGCAGCAGUGAGGAAUAUUGGUCAAUGGGAGAGAUCCUGAACCAGCCAAGCCGCGUGAGGGAAGACGGCCCUAUGGGUUGUAAACCUCUUUUGUCGGAGAACAAAACCCGGGACGUGUCCCGGACUGCGUGUAUCCGAAGAAAAAGCAUCGGCUAACUCCGUG
Molecule: ribosomal RNA, 509 nt
Filed under: uncultured Bacteroidales bacterium
Lineage: Bacteria; Pseudomonadati; Bacteroidota; Bacteroidia; Bacteroidales
Description: bacterial SSU rRNA
Rfam family: Bacterial small subunit ribosomal RNA
Source: RNAcentral